GUUAUCAAGAAAGGCGGAGGGAUUAGACCCUAUGAAGCCUUAGCAACCCUUUAGAAAUAAAGAAGGUGCUACAUUCUACUCAAUUAUUUACAAUUGGAUAGAUAA
Molecule: non-coding RNA, 105 nt
Filed under: uncultured Polaribacter sp.
Lineage: Bacteria; Pseudomonadati; Bacteroidota; Flavobacteriia; Flavobacteriales; Flavobacteriaceae
Description: SAM riboswitch (S box leader)
Rfam family: SAM riboswitch aptamer (S box leader)
About the family: The SAM riboswitch is found upstream of a number of genes which code for proteins involved in methionine or cysteine biosynthesis in Gram-positive bacteria. The SAM riboswitch acts at the level of transcription termination control. The predicted structure consists of a complex stem-loop region followed by a single stem loop terminator region.
Source: RNAcentral